GAUGGCGAGCGGGAAAAAUAGUGUCGAAACUUUUGAAUCUCUCUCUCUCUCUCUUCUCAACGCUCCCUAAUCUCCAACGGCUGGAGCAAACUCUCCGGUGACUGUGCUGUUUUUCUCUCGUUUUCUGGAGACUCUUUCAGAACCUAGCCCCAUCUUAGGGUUUUCCAUUUUGUUUUUCAUUUGGUCGAGAGAAGUUCAAGAGCUAGGGUUUCUAAUGAAAUCGGGGCAUCACCAGAAUGGAAGAUCAGAUUCACUCUGCGGAAGACCUGAGCGGUGACAGAAACGCCAGUUUCCACACCGUGCAGCCUCUCCGUGACCUCGAAUCGAAUUGGUCCGUGGAUCUUGCCAAGAACCUUGAAGAGUAUCUGCUCAAGAUUUGCUCCGGUGAGAUUUCCGGAAACGACGGCAGGAACGUGAAUUUUGCUGAAGCUGCUUUGCUGCUUCAAGGUUCAAUUCAGGUGUAUAGUCGGAAGGUGGAAUAUCUUUAUACACUGGUUUUACAUGCUUUGGAGUUCAUUUCACAUACAAGGCAGCAGGAUCAACUAGAGAGAACACCCAUCCAGCAUGAGGAAGGUGGCUCCCAUGUGGUACCUGAUGAAGAAGAUGAUCUGUUUUGGUGUUUAGAUGAUGUACCUGUUGAACCAAGGAAUUGCCUAGAUAGUACCACCAGCAAAGAUGCUUCCUUGAACCAGUUUGUGAAAGCUCCUGCCAAUCUAGUUGUACUUGAAGGUGACGCUACUGGUGAUGGCGGGGAAUUAGAGUCAUAUUUGUUAGCCACCAACGAUCUUUAUCGGGAUUUUAUUCUCUUAGAUCCGUGUGAUGCUGUAGCAGUUGACAGUUUUCUGAAAGGAGAUAAAGAUUCUAAAGGGCUGAAUGGUGACUAUAAGAGCGGCUCUUUAAACUCUAAGAGUUGCAAGAGCUUUCAGUCCCCCUCUAGACGUUCUGGAGGAACUGCUCAUAGAUCUCAUGGAAAGAGCAAUCUUAAUGAACCUUGGGUUGAUUGCAGCUUUGCAGCUAAUGAGGGUAAAAUUGGGCCUGAGCCACCUGCUUUUGACAUUGCCGAAAACAAUGAUGGACAUACAGAUCAUGCAGGAUUAGAUAAUUCAGAUGAUGAUGACGACGAUGAUGACAACGAUGAUCCAUGGAAACCAUUGAAUCCACAUGAAGCUGGGAACUUGAAAGUAAAACCUUUUAAGAAAGUGAAGGCUUUCAGAAGGCGUGGGGUAUGUUCUACUAAGCAUAAUAUUCUUACUACUCAGUUUCCCCUUGCAAAAAUGCAUGGUCCUAUUAGUCCAGAGCUCACAGAAAUAUGGGAGAAACAUCGUGCUUGUGAAAGACAACAAGAACCUCAAACUCCUCCACUUUAUGAGAAGCUGCGAAACUCACUUAUUCAUGGAGAUUCUCAGACUUUUAGUGCUUAUAGUAAUGUUGAGGACAACAAAGAAGAUGGUGGAUAUGAUAGUGGGGUUAAUGAUUUUGGGGAUGAGAUGCCGCAUGAUAUGUACAUGGAUGAUGAUUUACCUCUUCAUCAAGAACAGCAUGAUGAUGGUGCUGCAUGUUUUGAUUCCAUUGACAACUUGGAAGACCUUUGUCGCUCUCAUCUUGAUGCUCUCCUUGCCAACAUUGCUGAAACUGAGAAGCAGACUGAAUUGGCUGCUCGGGUUUCAACAUGGAAACAAAAGAUAGAGCAUGACUUGGAAGAGCAAGACUUGCGACCUCCAUUUGAUAUUCAUGAUUAUGGAGACAGAAUUUUGGAAAAAUUAUCCCACAAAGCUGAAAAUGGAAAUGUCAUGUCCUUUAGUGAAGUUGUCAGUGGCCAAGAAAAGCACGAUGUGGCACGAUCCUUUUCUGCACUCCUUCAACUGGUGAACAAUGAAGAUGUCAAUCUGGAUAGGGGUGGAACUGAUGGUGAGUCCGUGUGUUACACAGAUGCAAAUCCUUUCUAUAUUAAGCUCCUUAACCGUGACAAGAGACGGGAGGAAGUGCAGCUCCGUUCAACCAAGAAGAGAGCUAAAUCUCCAACAAAGAAAGAAUGCACCAAGGGCAAUAGGGACAAAUCAGAAAUAGAGAACCGUCCACCUGUUAGUUCAUCGUCAACAACAGCACUUCAACCCCAACCAAAUUGCAAAUUCUCUGUGAAACUCGGAAAAAUUAAUCCCAUUCGAUGCACUCCUGAACGCAAGAGGAGGCGAAGGUCUCGGAUUGCUGAACCGGUUGACUUACAUUCUUCAAGAUGACACGACCCUCAUGAGGCAAGUUUGGCUAUAAUCUUCUAUUGUUCUGGGCAAUUUUUCAAACCCCUUCCAUUGAAUUGCUUGGAGUGAGAGAAGGUGAGCUGCCAAUGUAGUCCUAGAUUACUAACUAUUUUCAGCUCGUGAUUGGCUUCUGUAGCAUUUUUUUUUUCUCUCAAGCUCCCCUGUCUCUUGGACCAUACAGAAAUUCCUGACUUCUGAGAAAAACCCCCUUCAUACGGCAGCUUAUUGUAAGCUUGGCGGGGGCAUCCCUUUGACUACAUCUACCACCGUUCAAAGAUUUGAACCAAAAUUCAUAAAGAGCUUUAAAAACACAGUGGCUACCACGGCUCUACUCCAAUAUGAGGAUGACUAAGCAAAAGCAUAGGAGAGACGUAAGGCUUUUCCAAAGACAAAAGACGUUGGUGUUCUGACCAGCUCCAUCUCAAGUCAAGCUCCAGUUCAUGCCGUCAUCUCAAGUAUGGAGAGUUAGCUUGCCUGAAGAUAAUAGAUUUCAGAAACUGACAACUGGCAAAAGAUAUAAAGACAAAGAAUGGAAUGAUAAAAGUCGAGAGUAAGUUUUGGAAAGGGGGGAAAAUAUUGAAAGGAUGUCAAUCAUGUCGAAAGGAAUCCGAACUGCAUUCCGCGUAACCGUAAACCCCAUUUACACUGGCUUGCUAUUUUACAAUAAUAGGAAACUGAUUGACGUGCCUAUUCAAUCUGCAAAAGGACAUAAAGAAGUAGCGAGAAUGACAAGCCCCUGUUAUCCUACGCGGUUUUAGAGUUACUUUCUGUCUAAAACCGAUUAUACCACAAAUUUCAAAUUUUAGUAAUUUUUUGACAACGGAUUUGAUGUGGGGACCACAUGAUAAAAUGUUCUACCAAAUGAAUUUAUUUUUCUCAUUACUAAAUACUAACAUUGAAUUCUCUUCCAUUUUCUUAGUCUCCAAGCAUCACCA
RNA transcript from Vitis riparia (riverbank grape), 3190 nucleotides. It is a transcript of the gene named condensin-2 complex subunit H2, with no coding region annotated. NCBI's taxonomy places the organism in Eukaryota, Viridiplantae, Streptophyta, Magnoliopsida, Vitales, Vitaceae. The transcript is spliced from 15 exons. The record is from RefSeq and is a predicted model, not a curated record.